Molecule: ribosomal RNA, 441 nt
Filed under: uncultured bacterium
Lineage: Bacteria
Description: partial 16S ribosomal RNA
Rfam family: Bacterial small subunit ribosomal RNA
Source: RNAcentral
CCUACGGGUGGCAGCAGUGGGGAAUAUUGCACAAUGGGGGAAACCCUGAUGCAGCGACGCCGCGUGAGUGAAGAAGUAUUUCGGUAUGUAAAGCUCUAUCAGCAGGAACGAGACAAGACGGUACCUGACUAAGAAGCCCCGGCUAACUACGUGCCAGCAGCCGCGGUAAUACGUAGGGGGCAAGCGUUAUCCGGAAUCACUGGGUGUAAAGGGAGCGUAGACGGCAGGGCAAGUCUGGAGUGAAAGCCCGGGGCCCAACCCGGGGACUGCUUUGGAAACUGCCAUGCUAGAGUGCUGGAGAGGUAAGCGGAAUUCCUAGUGUAGCGGUGAAAUGCGUAGAUAUUAGGAGGAACACCAGUGGCGAAGGCGGCUUACUGGACAGUAACUGACGUUGAGGCUCGAAAGCGUGGGGAGCAAACAGGAUUAGAUACCCGGGUAGUC